GAAAAACUCAAGAAAAUUAUGAACAUGGUGAAAAAUAAAGAACUGAGCAUUCAAGAAUCCUUGGAAUUGGCAGAAAAAGAGAAGGGACCUGAAGAGGAAGGGUUGGAAUUAAAUGACCCAUUGGCUUCCCAGGAUUUCUUGACUGCUACACAGUUCAACUUCAUCAUCCGUAAAUACAAAAGAUACAGAUGGCAGAAACGGAUUUUACAGAUUGAUUUAAACACCAAAACCAUUUUUAACAUUGAGAAUGGUAUCAUCAGAAAACAGUUCCCAUUUUGCCAAAUCAAGUACUGGGAAAGUGGAGAGGGGACCCGGUUUAACAUUGCAUUUCAUGGGCACCAGGAUUAUGUACUAGAGGCAACAUCCCUAGAAGACAAAAGGAAACUGGUGCACCUUUUGGAUAAGAUCCUGUGGAAAUCUGCAGAAUCUGCUUUGGCACAGAUUGACCAGCAGGAUGGAGCUGUACAUGAAGGCUUGCUGGAAUUGGAGCAGAAUGGUCUGGAAGCUGCUAAAUGGGUCAAGUGCUUGGUACAGCUCCAUGAAAGACAGCUGACCCUGUAUCCUCUUGGCUUCAAUGAUGAGAAUGGGAAAACUAAUAUGGAAGCAAGCAAAGUACAAUUGUCUGAUGUGAGAGUCCAUAAAGAAAAUGAAUAUGAUGAAUUUUCAGUCCAGACUAAAAAAGACAAUUAUUUAUUGAAAAAUCCAUCUGGUCAACAUGUGACCUCCGGAAGAGAAAAAUUGAUGUGA
Molecule: long non-coding RNA, 747 nt
Filed under: Phascolarctos cinereus (koala)
Lineage: Eukaryota; Metazoa; Chordata; Mammalia; Diprotodontia; Phascolarctidae
Description: lncRNA (ENSPCIG00000027332.2)
Source: RNAcentral